RNAcentral lists this long non-coding RNA (973 nucleotides) under Parus major (Great Tit). Its description in RNAcentral is "lncRNA (ENSPMJG00000003018.1)". Lineage: Eukaryota; Metazoa; Chordata; Aves; Passeriformes; Paridae. The record is from RNAcentral.
GCGGCAGGAAGGGUUCCCCUCAUCCCCGUCUCCAGCAAGGCGCUCAGCGGAUCCUUUGCCUAAAUUCAGGGGGCAGCAGACACUGACCACUUUUGCCUAGUCUCAUGUAAUUUGAUUCUAAGCUCCUUUUGCCCCCACCACGCAGCUCCAUGGAAACCCAUCACUUUCCACGCCGGCCCUUGUCAGCAGAGGAAUGAGUAAAUGAGGAGUGAGCAAAAAGCUUUAGCUGCACAUCUAGCAUCAGCAUGAACUGAAAAAGCAACAGAAGACAACAGGGGGGAAAAUGGAUCCAGGAUCAGGAGAAGCAAGUGUAGAAGUGAUUGAAAACUGAUCAAGGAAAUGAAGUCAAGUAAAACAAGUGAGGGUACAGAGAAGAUCAUGGGAUUUUACUUCCAAAGCUACAAAUAGAUAUGCCCAUCAUAGAAGAGCAGCAAGAGAUAAUAAUGUUCUAAGUGUCUUUGGGCUUGACCUUGAAAACAAAUACCUCUUUUUGUUUUGCUGAGUAUUCAGAUAUAAAUUGUGUGUUUAUCAGUGGAGACAGUCAUACAUUAAAGAGAUUGCUCAUUUUCUGUUUCUCAAAGCUCCAGGAUGACAUUGAUUGAAAGUCAUUUUGAUAUCUUUUAUUAUCCUGUUAAUUUUUGCCUAAUUUUUCCUAUGCCUUCAUGAAAAGAUUUUGUUAGAAAUUUAUUUAUUUUAUUUAAGAAAAAUGAGUAAAAUAAGUAAAGCAGAAAAAAAUGGUGAUUGUAAGAAAAUAUGCUACAUCAUAUAAAAUAUAUUUUUAUCAAUACAAAUAAUGAAGGGCAUAUGUAUAAUGAAGAUAAGUAAAAGCCCCUUUAAGAAAGUAAAUGCCAUAAGUUAAGGAGUGUUGCAGUCAAGUUUUCAGUGAAAUAUAUGUAUGUUCAAUUUAGUAAAAAGUGAAAGUGCAAUUAAAUCUAUUUUGUACAAAGUUUCAUAGAAAUACUAAAUUCAGUUG